GAGAAGUGAUGUUAAUGGUAGAUGUUUAAUCAAAGAUUAAACUUGGACUUGCCACAAAUGUCAAAGACAGGAUCAUAAUUUCAUCGGCAACUUCCCUUCCCCCAACUGCACUUCAAAGGAAGAGCCAUCCAUUAAUAACAGUGCACAACUUAAACCCAAAGGGCUAAUCCCUUUUAAGCACCCCUUUGCAAAAUAUACUCAUUUACAGUUGACAUUCAUCAGACCUCAGCAGGAAAUUAGAUGGAGAACAGCAUGAAAAUAUCACAUACAAAAAGAAUAAUAAUCAGGUUUAACAGGUUUCUGCAGGACUUUAUUUAAAUGUGGGUGGAGGAGUGAGAAUUUGCUAUAAUAUACCAGUAAUGUCUAAAGACAAGAUUUCAUAGUUCAGUAUGGUUAACACGCUAUAAUAAGCAUAUUGCUGUAAAUCCAUUAAGAUGAAGGUAAUAUAAAUGCCAGUAAAUGCAAAAUAAAAAAAUAUUUUCACCCAUUGUAAA
Molecule: non-coding RNA, 494 nt
Organism: Pantherophis guttatus
Lineage: Eukaryota; Metazoa; Chordata; Lepidosauria; Squamata; Colubridae
Source: RefSeq, a predicted model, not a curated record